UGGAGCGGUGUCCGAGCGGUUGAAGGAGAUGGUUUCGAAAACCAUUGAGCUCGUAAGGGUUCCGGGGGUUCGAAUCCCCCCUGCUCCGA
RNAcentral lists this transfer RNA (89 nucleotides) under Spirochaetia bacterium. RNAcentral's name for it is "tRNA-Ser". It matches the Rfam family "tRNA". From Rfam's summary of the family: Transfer RNA (tRNA) molecules are approximately 80 nucleotides in length. Their secondary structure includes four short double-helical elements and three loops (D, anti-codon, and T loops). Further hydrogen bonds mediate the characteristic L-shaped molecular structure. tRNAs have two regions of fundamental functional importance: the anti-codon, which is responsible for specific mRNA codon recognition, and the 3' end, to which the tRNAs corresponding amino acid is attached (by aminoacyl-tRNA synthetases). tRNAs cope with the degeneracy of the genetic code in two manners: having more than one tRNA (with a specific anti-codon) for a particular amino acid; and 'wobble' base-pairing, i.e. permitting non-standard base-pairing at the 3rd anti-codon position. The record is from RNAcentral. Lineage: Bacteria; Pseudomonadati; Spirochaetota; Spirochaetia.